This 253-nucleotide ribosomal RNA is filed under the name uncultured bacterium. Its description in RNAcentral is "partial 16S ribosomal RNA". It matches the Rfam family "Bacterial small subunit ribosomal RNA", at positions 524 to 776 of the family's 1533-position model. The record is from RNAcentral.
GACGGAGGGGGCUAGCGUUGUUCGGAAUGACUGGGCGUAAAGAGCGUGUAGGCGGCCAGAAAAGUCCGCUGUGAAAACUCGAGGCUCAACUUCGAGCUGUCGGUGGAAACUUUCUGGCUAGAGUCCGGAAGAGGAGAAUGGAAUUCCUGGUGUAGCGGUGAAAUGCGCAGAUAUCAGGAAGAACACCCGUGGCGAAGGCGGUUCUCUGGGACGGUACUGACGCUGAGACGCGAAAGCGUGGGGAGCGAACAGG